Molecule: ribosomal RNA, 443 nt
Filed under: uncultured bacterium
Lineage: Bacteria
Description: bacterial SSU rRNA
Rfam family: Bacterial small subunit ribosomal RNA
Source: RNAcentral
GAGCGGUAGAUUGCUUUCGGGCAAUUGAGAGCGGCGCACGGGUGCGGAACACGUGUGCAACCUGCCUUUAUCUGGGGGAUAGCCUUUCGAAAGGAAGAUUAAUAUCCCAUAAUAUAUUGAUUGGCAUCAAUUAAUAUUGAAAGCUCCGGCGGAUAGAGAUGGGCACGCGCAAGAUUAGAUAGUUGGUGAGGUAACGGCUCACCAAGUCAAUGAUCUUUACGGGGCCUGAGAGGGUGAUCCCCCACACUGGUACUGAGACACGGACCAGACUCCUACGGGAGGCAGCAGUGAGGAAUAUUGGACAAUGGGUGAGGGCCUGAUCCAGCCAUCCCGCGUGAAGGACGACGGCCCUAUGGGUUGUAAACUUCUUUUGUACAGGGAUAAACCUACCCUCGUGAGGGUAGCUGAAGGUACUGUACGAAUAAGCACCGGCUAACUCCUUG